RNAcentral lists this ribosomal RNA (465 nucleotides) under Vreelandella stevensii. RNAcentral's name for it is "partial 16S ribosomal RNA". It matches the Rfam family "Bacterial small subunit ribosomal RNA", at positions 338 to 795 of the family's 1533-position model. Lineage: Bacteria; Pseudomonadati; Pseudomonadota; Gammaproteobacteria; Oceanospirillales; Halomonadaceae. The record is from RNAcentral.
CCUACGGGAGGCAGCAGUGGGGAAUAUUGGACAAUUGGCGAAAGCCUGAUCCAGCCAUGCCGCGUGUGUGAAGAAGGCCUUCGGGUUGUAAAGCACUUUCAGUGGGGAAGAAAGCCUUGGGGCUAAUACCCUCGAGGAAGGACAUCACCCACAGAAGAAGCACCGGCUAACUCCGUGCCAGCAGCCGCGGUAAUACGGAGGGUGCGAGCGUUAAUCGGAAUUACUGGGCGUAAAGCGCGCGUAGGCGGUCUGAUAAGCCGGUUGUGAAAGCCCCGGGCUCAACCUGGGAACGGCAUCCGGAACUGUCAGGCUAGAGUGCAGGAGAGGAAGGUAGAAUUCCCGGUGUAGCGGUGAAAUGCGUAGAGAUCGGGAGGAAUACCAGUGGCGAAGGCGGCCUUCUGGACUGACACUGACGCUGAGGUGCGAAAGCGUGGGUAGCAAACAGGAUUAGAUACCCCUGUAGUC